GUGAGGCGCUGCUGGGGCCUGCUCUGGUUCCAGGACCCAUGUCUGCACAGAGAGGGGAGCUCAGGCCCCCUGUCCCGCAGGUGCCCGCAUGAAGCACCGCGUCCUCGCCAGGCAGGCCCUGCGGAUGCUCCAUGAGGACCCGUCCCCAUGCACAGACAAGUGCUGGCGCCUGGCCCAUCCUCCGCGUGCCACUCCCGCGUUGCUGGGCAGAUUGCAGCUCAGAAGAUGCUGCUGCAUGUGGCUAACGGCAUCCCGCAGGAGCUGAGGGCACACAUGCAGCCCUCCCUGCCCUCCAGCUUCUUCCACGGCGAGGAAAACUGGGUGCUGAAGCUGUUUCUAGAAGGCCUCUUGCACAAAACCGCCAUCCUCCUGGAUGUGGUGGGCAUGAUUAUGCAGGACCCAAGCAACCGACCAGGAGCCCGCCCUGCGUGGUAGGCCCUGGGCCCUGACUACAUGAGUGAGCUGCUGUGCCUGUCCCUGAGCUUCGAGGGUCCAGAAACGCAGCCCUUCAGCCUCUUCCUGUCCCACGUGGUGGCAGAAACCUGAGUGGUGUCCCUGGGCAAAGUCGCUCGACCUUCAUUGUCUCUAAAACCUUCAGGAGGCCGCACCUCGGCCACAAACCACCUGUAGCUGAGCAGAUUCGUGUCUGUCGUUUCCCUGGGAAGACACUGGAAUGCCCAGGUGCGGCUGGAGCCCCGACAGCUGUCAGGAUGCACUGCGUUAACCAAGGCCGGUUCCCCAAGACCAGGGCCGUCCGCCCACGACACCCCUGGAGUCAUUCUUUGUGUUUUUGCACACAUGAGUCUAAGAGCCUAAAUUAUUUUUGGAAAUCAUUUUGAAACUUUCAAAGAUUAUGUAAAAGCUAUCUGGUUUUUUGAGCAAUGUUUAACUGAGUGAAGUAAAAAGUUUCUUUGGUAUUUUUUCAGUGCCCAUGUUCACCUCUGCUGGUUUUGAUUCCAGGGAUGGGGAACAAGUCGGUAUGUCCCCCUGCAGCCACCAGGCCCAUUUGUUGUCACUGUGCCUCAGGGCGGGGGUGGCAUGCAGCCUCUUGUUGCCCCAAGGGUCCGAAGUAAAGCUGCCCAGUGCUGCGUGCUCACUUGGGAGCCGUGUGGAGGAGAGCAGGUCUCCCCCACACGGAGCUGGAGCCCACAGUGCUGGGGUGGUACAGGGUCACCAGCACACCCCACACACUCAGAGGUGGCCCCGUGACAGAGACCAGCCUCAGCUCUGGCCCCGCCCGGCGGGGUUGGCAGCAGCUAUGGGUCCCGUCUGGUUGGGGUGUUUCCUCCCCUCCUGCCUGAGCCCUCCGUGGGGACCCUGCCGAGGGGUCAGAGCACUCCACACAGCUUUUUGAUUCUUAUUCCUGAGCACUGAUAUCAGCACAAAGGGGCCCCUGCCCUGGGGUCUUGCUGCGCCCACCCUCCACAGCCCCCGGGGAGGCCCAGCAGCACCUGGGGUGGCCGUUUCCAGGCCAGCGAGAAGCCCUGUGGUCUCUCCCCAGCAACCCAGUUAGUGGAGCUAAUUUCAGAACGGUGUCUCGUCUCCCUGGACCCGUUCCAGGCACCUGCGAGGCAGCGGUCAGCUGGAGGACAAGCUGUCUGCCUCCCUCCCGAGCAUCCUCCUCCCACCGUGGAUCCAGACCUGCCAGGUCCCCCUGGGGCGGGCUCCAGUGCAGGGGGCCUGGACUGGCACGUGUUGGGGUCCACAAGUCCACCCUCCCAGGAAGGUGAGAAACAGGACCUGCCGGGUCCCCUGACACUCACCAAGGACUGGGGAUGCCUGACACGAGCAGGCAUACGUCAGCUCAGCCACCGUGUGGGGUCAUGGCCUCCGUCACACAAGCCUGCCUAGGUCAGCACAAGGACCGGUUCUGAAUCCCAAGGGCAGCGGGCGUGACUGGCACCCAGACUGGAAACAGCACAGCAUGCCAGGAGGGCAGGCCUGGCUCCAGCUGUCCUGGCGGCACCAUGGCACCCCGGUGUAUUCAAGCACAAGACGCAGCCCCACAUGUGGACUGAUUGCCGCUGUGACCACAAUGGAUGGACUUCCUGAUCCCACAGUGAGAGCUGGAACAGCUCCCGAAAUCCGGGUCCAAGCAGACCAUGGAGGGCCAUGCCGGCCGGGCCACACCAGAGCUUCUCCCAGGGGCUCUCGGGUCACUGUUGGGCUGGAACCUGGUCCUGGGCACCCAGCUCUGCCCGUGCCCUCAAGGGGAAGGCAGGACUGGUAAGGGGGUCUGGCUGGUCUGGGUCUCAGUCCAAACCUUGAGCAAGUCCUGGGGGCCGAUGCAACACCCUGUCCUGAGCACCCAGCCCAUGUGAGCAGAGCCCCAGGCAGCCUGGGUGACAGGCAUGCACCUAGGGUAGGCAGGAACAGGCACAGCAAGGCCAGCUCUGCUGACCAUCUGCCCUGAGGUGGACGCCAGUGCCCUUGGCUCUAAGCCCCCCACCCCCAUAAAUCCGUAAUAAAAAUAAUCCUGAG
This 2481-nucleotide long non-coding RNA is filed under the name Equus asinus (donkey). RNAcentral's name for it is "lncRNA (ENSEASG00005023975.1)". The record is from RNAcentral. Lineage: Eukaryota; Metazoa; Chordata; Mammalia; Perissodactyla; Equidae.